AUUGAACGCUGGCGGCAGGCCUAACACAUGCAAGUCGAGCGGAUGAAGGGAGCUUGCUCCUGGAUUCAGCGGCGGACGGGUGAGUAAUGCCUAGGAAUCUGCCGGGUAGUGGGGGAUAACGUCCGGUAACGGGCGCUAAUACCGCAUACGUCCUGAGGGAGAAAGUGGGGGAUCUUCGGACCUCACGCUACCAGAUGAGCCUAGGUCGGAUUAGCUAGUUGGUGGGGUAAAGGCCUACCAAGGCGACGAUCCGUAACUGGUCUGAGAGGAUGAUCAGUCACACUGGAACUGAGACACGGUCCAGACUCCUACGGGAGGCAGCAGUGGGGAAUAUUGGGCAAUGGGCGAAAGCCUGAUCCAGCCAUGCCGCGUGUGUGAAGAAGGUCUUCGGAUUGUAAAGCACUUUAAGUUGGGAGGAAGGGAAGUAAGUUAAUACCUUGCUAUUUUGACGUUACCAACAGAAUAAGCACCGGCUAACUUCGUG
RNAcentral lists this ribosomal RNA (484 nucleotides) under uncultured bacterium. RNAcentral describes it as "partial 16S ribosomal RNA". It matches the Rfam family "Bacterial small subunit ribosomal RNA", at positions 30 to 507 of the family's 1533-position model. The record is from RNAcentral.